This 8827-nucleotide long non-coding RNA is filed under the name Citrus maxima (pomelo). RNAcentral's name for it is "long non-coding RNA (CMAX_LNC002937)". Lineage: Eukaryota; Viridiplantae; Streptophyta; Magnoliopsida; Sapindales; Rutaceae. The record is from RNAcentral.
GGGGAAGCAGUCAAGUUGUAAGAAUAUGGGACCUUCAGAGGAAACGCUGCAUCAAAUGGUUGAGGGGUCAUACCAAUACUAUAACAGGUGCAAUGUACAAUUGCAAAGAUGAGCACUUGGCUUCUAUCAGUUUAAGUGGGGACCUUAUUCUCCAUAACCUUGCAUCGGGAGCAAAGGCUGCUGAACUCAAGGAUCCUAAUGAACAGGUUGUUUAGGUUCUUGCAGCUGGGUUGUAUUCUAGUGUUUAUGACCGAGAGUCUCUGCUACCCAAGCUAAUUGUUUGUCUGAUGGAUUUAAGGCCAGGUACUGAGGGUGCUUGAUUAUUCACGGAAUAGUCGGCACCUUUUGGUGACAGCAGGUGAUGAUGGGACUUUACAUUUGUGGGAUACUACUGGGCGUAGCCCAAAGGUAUUCAGUAUUUCCAUUAUUGGGUUCGGAAACAUGUACAUACUAUGGGACGUCUGAUGUGGUUUAAUGAAUUGCAUGCAUAAGAAGAGUUUCAUUUAACUUACUGAAUGUCGUGCUUACGUUGGUCCUUUCAAAGCUAGAUUUCAAAUACUUUGUUGGAAAAAUCCUGUUGAUUUUGUGCUUGUGUCGUCAUAGUUAUUGUUAAGUAAUUGUAAUUUUGAAUGAGGUGUGGUAGCACAGAAUUUUAGAAAGUACAUCCAGAAGUCAAGAUGAUUUCCUUUAAUUUAGCAAAUCUUUUUGUUCCAAAUAAUAUUUAGAUGUUGAGUUAGGCUGCUCCCUACCUUGAAAUAUUUCAGAUAUGCUCAUCAUCUUUUCUGAUAGGGGAUCUGCUGCUUAUCAUGGAAACAUCCGACUUACACUAUGGUCAAGCCAUUCAUGCAUCUUUCUAAUAUCCUCUUUUUCUUCCACUAUCAGAUUUUUGGCAUUGGCCAGUAAUAGGGGGGUUGGUUAAAAAUGAGGAGAGAACUUUUUGACUUGCACUCUUCUGUUUUGGGUUCAUUAGUAUUAUCAUCUUUCUAAUAUCCUCUUUUUCUUCCACUAUCAGAUUUUUGGCGUUGGCCAGUAAUAGGGGGGUUGGUUAAAAAUGAGGAGAGAACUUUUUGACAUGCACUCUUCUGUUUUGGGUUCAUUAGUAUUAUCAUGUCCAAUAUUAAUUCCUUGUAGCACUGUAGAUGCCCUUGUUUUAGGUUUGAAACAAUUUUUCAGGAUCAUAACAAUCACUUUUCUGCUUACAGGUUUCUUGGUUGAAACAGCAUUCUGCACCAACUGCUGGGAUUAGCUUCUCAUCCGAUGAUAAGGUAUAGUCUUUAUCUUAUUAACUCGGCACCUUUUUGCAAUAAAUUGACAGAGAUGUAAGAAGGUGAAUAUAUCAUGCUCUGAAACAGUCCCGUAUGGGGUCAUCCAGUGAAAGUAAUUAAACGUUAUUUUACCUAAUGUUCUCCUUGUGACAGAUAAUUGCUAGUGUUGGACUGGAUAAGAAGCUAUACACUUAUGACCCAGGGUCUAGAAGACCCUCAUCUUGCAUCACAUAUGAGGCACCUUUCUCUUCGUUAGCAUUUAUAGAUGAUGAUUGGAUAUUGACAGCAGGAACAAGUAAUGGCCGUGUGGUGUUCUAUGAUAUUCGUGGCAAACCACAGCCGUUAACUGUUCUUCGUGCUUGUAGUAGUUCAGAGGUGACUUCUUUACUUGUGUAUAUAUUUUAAUAAAGAAUCCCAGAAUUUGCAAAUGUCUCUUUAAUGUUGUUUUUCUUGUAGCAAUUGCUUGUGACAUCAACAUGUUGUAAUCAGUUUUGGCUUGUUUUUAUAUUAUUUUUUGUGUAUUAAACUAUGUGUUGAUGUAUUCAUUAUUAACAUGCUAAGGUUUGAUUUUACCGUAUAAGAGGCCUUUCUCUUGUUGACCUAAGGUUCAGUUUGAUGUUGUUUGCCUUAUUGUUUAUUUGUGGAGUUCAGAGUAUUAGAUCAUGUUUUGGCAAUCUCUAUAAAUACUAAGUAUUUGAAGUGUUUAUCAGGCUGUGUCAAGUUUGUGCUGGCAAAGAGCAAAGCCAGUUUUUAUUGAUGAGACUACUUGCAAAGCUGAGACUGCUCUUCUAGGAGGUGCUGUUGGGGACUCUAUUCUUAUGCCUGACCCACUUCCCUCAGUGACAUCAUCAAGCGUUUCACUGUCCACUGCUGCAUCCGGUUCUCGUCCUAGUAGCCGUUCAGGUCCUUCUGCAGAAACAUCUUCUCUUACUGUGGGUGGUACUGGUUCUGUGUCUAGGACACAAAGUCUGCCUUCAGGAGAGGAAACACCACAACGUAGCUAUCUCCGUCCAGGCGGACCAUUGGCAAGAUUACAUGCCCCUCGAUCAAGUUAUAAUUUUAAGGAUGAUAUGGAAGUGUUUUCCCCUCUUGUUGAUGUUCAGCCAAUUACACCAUCACUUGAUAAACUGUGGGAUGGUCAUGAAGGAGCGAAGAAAGAUCAUCUACCCAUUGACAAGAAGCCUUCAUCCAUGUUGUUUCCUUCAUCCAGCAGGAGAUUCCCUUACGCAGAGGAUGGUUCAAAUGAGCACUCAGUAUUUGAUUGGAAAUCCAGUUCAACGUCUAAACAGGUUUGUCCUGAUUUCAGUUUUGUUUCCAGAUGCUUCCUGCAAUGUGUGAAUAUUUCUUUCUUUCUUCUGGGUGUAAGAUAUUAAUUUCAACCUUUAGCACAGUUUUAUUUUGGUGUAGCUACUUUGGUGAGUGCUCUAAAUAUACACUGUUGGAAGACGACAACAGCUGUUUUCUACAUCGUACUGGACGUUUGGCAGUGUCAAAAUAUUCUCAAAGUCAAUAAUUCAACUGCCUUUGGGUCUUAGAAUUCAUGAGAUUUUUUGCCGUCCAAGUUAGCUUCUGUUUUCUCAUGGUUUCUUUCUUUUUAAUCUUAAUCGCAUGUUAGGGGAGAUAUGAAUGUGAAUUGGCUACAAUCUUGUAUGUAUGGUCAGUUAUUUUAGAUAUUUAAUGCAUAGAUCAGGUAAAUUGGAUUGUUCUCCAGAACGUGAUGUGUUUUCAAUUUCUUCGUGGCAUUGCAUUGAUGUUUGUCUUUUUGCAGGAUGACGCCAGAUCUUUUGCGCUAUUGGGAUCAACACCUUCUCCAUCUUCCAAGAGCGAAGACUCUUCCAUCACUCCUCCAGAAGCCUGGGGUGGUGAGAAAUUAUCUGACAAAUUUGCCCUCCUCCGUCAGCCACUCAAUAUGGCAUCUCGUUAUGGGAUGUCAACUUCUAGUGGUCUCACAUCAAGUUCAAUGUAUUCUGGACUGCAAGAUGUGUCACUGAGUCAGACAAGUAUUAGCUCAUUGACAGAUUCUAACCCGAGCCGUGAAAACCUGCGUACCAAAGAUGUCACUUCAUAUCAGGAGACUUCGUCUUUGGGAUUUCCAGAACACCUCUCAUCUAGUUUCCCAUCUCUGUCUCUUGGUACAAAAGGCAUCCUGGGAUCAGGUAACCUUGACUCAUCGAGAACGUCAUCUUUAACAUUGACUCACCGAGAACCCCGAAGGACGUAUGCUGAGAGAAUUAGCACUACUUCUGGGACAUCCCUUUCAGUCGGUUCACCUAAAACAAAGAAAACAGGAGCAGAAACCAAGGAAGAACUUUUAAGUAACUUCUUAUUGAGGUCUGACACAUCAGCUGUAGUAGAACCUGGAAUUCCUCCAGCUAUAAAUGUAAGAAUCCCGAUUCAUUCAGUAAUUGUUUGCGGUCACAUUUGAACAUCUCCUUUGCUUUUGUAGAAAAGUUCCAGCAUGAUUAAAUCCUAUUUCAAUGCUUUGUCACCACCCAAGCCUUCAGUAAUACUGGCUAAAUAUGGAUUUGAUAAGUUUAGGACAGUCUGUGCUGUGUUGAUUGAAACCACUAAGUGGUAAUUGCAUAGUGAAUCCUUGACGUUAAACUUUGAGGGAUGUAAUGACACUAACUUUCUUCCACUUUAAAUCGGAUUAUAAUGGAUGUUGAUUUAUUCACAGGGUGGAAUGUCUCAAUCCCUAAAAAGCCCUCAGCCAGAUCCACCACAGGGCAGUAACUUCACACUUCAGCUCUUUCAACGUACACUUGAAGAAACUCUUGAUUCGUUUCAGAAAUCCAUACAUGAAGAUAUGAGGAACCUUCAUAUUGAAAUUUUAAGGCAAUUCCAUAUGCAGGAGGUAUGUAUGUGUUGUACUCUCGAUUUACCGUUAGUUUUCCAAAAUUUUUUGUCUCACAUAUAAUUAUCACAAUACUGUUACAGACUCAAAUGUCCAAUGUAAUGAGCUCAAUUCUUGAAAACCAAGCUGAGCUGAUGAAGGAAAUUAAGUCUCUGAGGAAAGAAAACCAUCAGCUCCGCCAACUGCUUUGAACACGGGUGAAGAUGCAUUAUUUGUGUGAUUAUUUGUUGAAGGAAUUUCGUAUCUUCUUGUCUAUUUAUUUAUUUGUCAUAGUUUGUUUUUACUCAAUGCCCACUGCCUGGUGGCCUUUUUUUUUUUAAAUAGCUAAUUACAAUUGAUUUUAUAAGCAGCGAUUUCAAAGCCGGGUUGAAAAAAGAAAGAAAAAUCAGUUGUGAAGAAUGAUAAAGAUGGAGUGUUCUUAGAGAUAGGAGGUAUGAACAUGUACAGAAGUAUCUUUCUUCUAACAAAAUGAAGCUUUUAAUUGGGUGAUUGAUAUCCAAAUUACCUGUUAGUUUGUUAGGUUAUAGGAAAUACUUACAUUGAAUGUACAGUUCUCCGGUGCUUUUUUUUGGCUUUUUAUUUUGAUUUUUGUUUAAUUACCUUUUAUUUUUGCUUGUGAAAAAUGUAGACGUAGAUCGGCUUCACUAAACUCGUGAAGAACUGAGGGGGAAAAAAAAAGAAGUAUUUAAUAAAGCGUCAUUGGCAUAACAUGUUGAUUCUAUGGUGCUAAACCACGGAGUGGGUAUCAAGUGGAGUCAACAGCAGAGUGUGUAUUGAGGCCUAUUUGGAGUGCGUUUGAAAGCUAUAGGCACUUUAUUUUAUAAGUAUUAAAAAAAAGAUUAUUUAGUAAAUUUUUAGAAAAUUUUUAUUUUUAAUAACGAUAAGUUUGGGGCUAGGGACUUGUGUGGUUGAUGAAAUAAGUUGUAAAUAAGUUAUUGAUUUAAAAAGUAGCUUAAUAUAUAGCAAAUUAUGUUGUCAUGGUAGUUGUGAGUUUGAAAAAUGAAGAUUGUGUUUAAUAAAUUUUAUUACAAAAUAAUUGUUAAUAAUCAAAAUAGACAUAGCUUUAAAUUUCUUAUAUGUGUGUGUGUGUGUAUUAGGGCUUACAAAAAAUAAGUUAUAAUUAUCUUUUUGUUAAAAUAUUGAGGUUGUAAUAUGGAGUAUAGUGACUUAUUUGAUAAGUUGUUUAUGGAAAAUAAUCAUCACUUACUUUUAAAAGCUACUAUUGAAAUAGAGAAAUAUAUGAAACAAUAGUUUUUAACAUAAUUUAUCAAAUAUCUUUUUAUCAAAAUUUAUUAAUGGAGUUUAAAUAAGUCACCACAUUUUUUUUUAAUUCUUAUUAUAAUUAAUAUGUUAGCAAAAGGAUAAUUGUAUUUUAUUUUUCCACAAAGUCUAAUUUAAAUUUGUGUCUUUUUUGUCAUUGUAUAAUAAAAUAAUAUUUGUGUUAUAAAAAUUAUUAAAGGCAUAUACUCUGCUUUUUAAGUCCACAGUAAUUUCAAUAAUACAAUUUAUCAAACACUGAAUUUAUUUUAAAUUAAUAAUUUAUUUUAUCAGUCAUUAUAAUCUCAAGUGAAAAGAUAUGCUAUGUAAGAAAUUAUAUCACAAUCGCAGGGAGCUAUACAAUAAUUACACAAACAUAAUUUCCCUGGAAAGUAACCAAAUACGAGAAAACGUAAGUACUGCUAAAUAACGAGUUCUAAUUUGAGUUAGAAAAGUAAUUGACGUGUUAUUCAUUUAUGACUGUGGAAUAAUAAUUUUUUAAAAAUGAUAUUUGAAAGAAAGGUGGAUCCGAUUUUUAAUAAGUAAAUAAAGGGAUUGAGAUAAAAUAUUGAAACUGAUACAUUAAAAUGGCUUUGCACAAAAAAAAAAAAAAAAAAAAAAAAUCAACGUCUUGGUGACCACGUCAUUUAGCGUUCACAAACACAAUCACGUUCGACUUCAGCCCUCCACCCAACAUCCCCAAUCCCGUCUUCAUAUUUUCCCCCAAACCAACAGCCACUUCCACUUGCUUUCUCUCUCUCUCUCUCUCUCUCGCUCGCCGCCUUGUCCUUGAACACCACCAAAACGGUCUCCUCCUCUGUCGUUUCACACGCACACACGUGUCCACCAAUACGUGUUCACAUUCUAUACUAUGCCAUUCUUUUUUUUUUAUCACUUAUAAGUUAGUUAUUUCUGUUGAAUUCAGGUUUUUGAAUUGAAAAUGGCAGAAGGUAAUAAAACUGUUACUGCAUACGAGGAAGCGUUGGAUGCUUUGUCUUCUCUUAUAACAAAACGCAGCCGUGCUGAUAAGAGCAACAACGGGGAUCGCUUCGAGCUGCUUUCCGAUUAAUAUUGUAUUAAAAUUAAUUAUGAUAUUUUCCUCUUAGUAACAAUCAGGAAGCAGAGGCUCAACUCCUGCACCUUGCAUGCACAACAUUUAGGCUCAUCACAGGCUCUGCGAUCAUUAUCGAUAGCUUAGCAUUAGAUCAAGAUUAAUUGAUAAAACAAAAGUCAUAUGAUAAAUUAAUAAUCAUGCGAUAGUACUAAUGAAAAAUAACCACCAAACAAUCCAUUUUCAUAAUGCUCGAUCACAAUUAAAACCCUUUUCAAUUCAUGCAUUAAAGCUUUCUUUCAUUAGGAAAUAUAUAUAAUAUAUAUUACAGUCUAAUUAAAAUGCUCACCGAAACCAAAAUCAAAAUCAACUCCUCCACUAACACUAAUAUCUUCAUUAACAUUAACAUUAAUAUUACCAAACGCAUCUGGAUGAUCAUUCCCCAAAUUCAUAUGAGGCACCAAAUAUUCAUUCAUCAUUAUUUCAUUAACCCUCAUUUCAACUUUCCCUUUCAAUUUCUUCAUAGCCUUUAAGUACUCUUCAAGCUCUUCAAUUCCCAUAUCAUCAAUAAUAUUACCCUCUUGCCACCAGAACCUACCAUUAUUUUUAUUCUUCUUUUUCUCCUCUUCAAUCAUCUUCCCCCUCUUCUUCUCCUUCUCCAACUCUUGCGUGGCAUCUUCAUACUCUUUGUUAUGCUGUUGUACGCAUGGUAUCGCGUUAACUUCGUCUAGAGACGAGUGAUUUUGAUCGAGAUAACGGUUCAAAAUCUUGUCAAAGUCAGGAUGCCCGGCGAGGAAGAUCUUCCCAUUGGGAGAAAACACAAUGAUGCCUACUUCAGCACCACACAAGACACAUAGCUCCAUGGCUUUGCUAAAAAGGCCAGACCGGCGCUUCGAGAAGGUUACUUGCAGGCUGUUUUUGUCUUCAAGUUUCUUGAUUUGAAUCUUUUGCCUCCCCCUUGUUAUCUUCUUUUUGUUGUUGGGAUCAAUAUUGUUGCCAUUGUUGUUGUUAUUUAUCUUGAUGUUAUUGUUCAUGGUGAUUGAGAUGGGGAAUAAAGAAAGAGAUAGAGUUGGGGCUUAAAUUUUUUUUUUCCUAGGGUUUGGACAGUAGGAGAUGAAAGUUUAUUUUGAAGUAUAUAUAAUUUCAUAUAUCGUGUAAGAUUACUUCCUUUUUAUUUUUUUGGGUAUGUAAGAUCUUUAAAGAUGUUCUUGUCUAAGCUAAAAAUCAGCACAAAAAAAAAAAGAAAAGAAAAGAAGAAAAAGACUAAUUACCCUAAUGACAAAUUAUUACCAUACUUAUCUUAUUAAGAGAAAUAAAGGCUGAUAGCAAUAAAACUUAAUGGAUAGAGAUACAGGGAGAAAGCUUCUUGACAAUUUUAGAAAAAAUACAUUGACUUUCUUCUUUUCUCUCCUUGAUCUUUGAAAUCUGCCUUUUUUUUUUUUUGUAUUUUCCACGUUUUAUUCUUUAUUUUUCUUUUCGUGUAAGCCAGGCUAGGAAAUAGGAAUUACGAUAGUUAAUUAAUUUAAGUAUUUAUUGUGCAUAAAAAAAAAAUGCAAUCUUGCAAGAUUUGUUAAAUCAUCGUUGCCAUUGUAUUUCCUUAUGAAUAAUAUUCUUCCAACUUUAUUUAAAAAAAAAAAAAAUUCCAGCUAGCUUUGAAUUGAUUCCUGCAGAUUUAGUUGUUGCAAGUGCUGGAGAAGAUAAGAAGAUAUCAUUGUGGAGGAAGAAUGGGGAGAGCAUGGGAACAAUUCCGGUAGCUGGUACAGAUAGCGGAGACAAUAUUGAGGUAAUCCUCUUCUAGCUCUGAUCUACCAUCAAUCGAAGCAUUAAAUUUGAAGCAUGUGGGUUUGUCCAUGUGUACUUCUAGCACCAGUCAUUCUAUCUUCUAGACAUUCAAUGACAGAACGGUGCAUGUUCGAUUCCAUGCCAGCAAUGGCUCAUCCGAAGCCACUUUUUAAGGAGUUGUCUUCUGUGUGGGAAAGGUUUUGAACUUCAAUUGUUUUUUCCCCCCAAUUUGUCAUUCAUUCUGCCAGCUUCAGUUGCUUGUGGUAAACUAAAGAUCGGCAUUUUCCAGUAAAUGGGCUUUACAGGUCUAAUGUAUCAACUUAUUUUUGGGAAUUUUUCUCAUUUUUUCAGGAAUCAAUAUUGGCUAUUAGUUUCGGGAUCCAGAUAUAUAUGUUCUGGGGGAAGCAGUCAAGUUGUAAGAAUAUGGGACCUUUAGAGGAAACGCUGCAUCAAAUGGUUGAGGGGUCAUACCAAUACUAUAACAGGUGCAAUAUACAAUUGCAAAGAUGAGCACUUGGCUGUUAUCAGUUUAAGCGGGGACCUUAUUCUCCACAACCUUGCAUCGGGAGCAAAGGCUGCUGAACUCAAGGAUCCUAAUGAACAGGUUGUUUAGGUUCU